This 950-nucleotide ribosomal RNA is filed under the name uncultured Bacillota bacterium. RNAcentral describes it as "bacterial SSU rRNA". It matches the Rfam family "Bacterial small subunit ribosomal RNA", at positions 1 to 917 of the family's 1533-position model. The record is from RNAcentral. Lineage: Bacteria; Bacillati; Bacillota.
UGGAUCCAGACUUUGAUUAUGGCUCAGGAUGAACGCUGGCGGCGUGCCUAAUACAUGCAAGUCGAACGAAACUUCUUUAUCACCGAGUGCUUGCACUCACCGAUAAAGAGUUGAGUGGCGAACGGGUGAGUAACACGUGGGCAACCUGCCCAAAAGAGGGGGAUAACACUUGGAAACAGGUGCUAAUACCGCAUAACCAUAGUUACCGCAUGGUAACUAUGUAAAAGGUGGCUAUGCUACCGCUUUUGGAUGGGCCCGCGGCGCAUUAGCUAGUUGGUGGGGUAAAGGCUUACCAAGGCAAUGAUGCGUAGCCGAACUGAGAGGUUGAUCGGCCACAUUGGGACUGAGACACGGCCCAAACUCCUACGGGAGGCAGCAGUAGGGAAUCUUCCACAAUGGGCGAAAGCCUGAUGGAGCAACGCCGCGUGGGUGAAGAAGGUCUUCGGAUCGUAAAACCCUGUUGUUAGAGAAGAAAGUGCGUGAGAGUAACUGUUCACGUUUCGACGGUAUCUAACCAGAAAGCCACGGCUAACUACGUGCCAGCAGCCGCGGUAAUACGUAGGUGGCAAGCGUUAUCCGGAUUUAUUGGGCGUAAAGGGAACGCAGGCGGUCUUUUAAGUCUGAUGUGAAAGCCUUCGGCUUAACCGGAGUAGUGCAUUGGAAACUGGGAGACUUGAGUGCAGAAGAGGAGAGUGGAACUCCAUGUGUAGCGGUGAAAUGCGUAGAUAUAUGGAAGAACACCAGUGGCGAAAGCGGCUCUCUGGUCUGUAACUGACGCUGAGGUUCGAAAGCGUGGGUAGCAAACAGGAUUAGAUACCCUGGUAGUCCACGCCGUAAACGAUGAAUGCUAAGUGUUGGAGGGUUUCCGCCCUUCAGUGCUGCAGCUAACGCAAUAAGCAUUCCGCCUGGGGAGUACGACCGCAAGGUUGCAACUCAAAGGAAUUGACGGA